UACGUAGGGGGCAAGCGUUGUCCGGAUUCAUUGGGCGUAAAGAGCUCGUAGGCGGCUUGGCAAGUCGGGUGUGAAAACUUCAGGCUCAACCUGGAGCGGCCACUCGAUACUGCCAUGGCUUGAGUCCGGUAGGGGACCACGGAAUUCCUGGUGUAGCGGUGAAAUGCGCAGAUAUCAGGAGGAACACCGGUGGCGAAGGCGGGUCUCUGGGCCGAUACUGACGCUGAGGAGCGAAAGCGUGGGGAGCGAACAGG
This 254-nucleotide ribosomal RNA is filed under the name uncultured bacterium. RNAcentral describes it as "partial 16S ribosomal RNA". It matches the Rfam family "Bacterial small subunit ribosomal RNA", at positions 524 to 776 of the family's 1533-position model. The record is from RNAcentral.